UGGGGAAUAUUGGACAAUGGGGGCAACCCUGAUCCAGCAAUACCGCGUGUGUGAAGAAGGCCUUCGGGUUGUAAAGCACUUUAGUUGGGGAAGAAGGCUAGUAGUUUAAGAGAUGACUAGUUUGACGGUACCCAAAGAAUAAGCACCGGCUAACUCUGUGCCAGCAGCCGCGGUAAUACAGAGGGUGCAAGCGUUAAUCGGAGUUACUGGGCGUAAAGGGCGCGUAGGCGGUUAUUUAAGUUAGAUGUGAAAUCCCUGGGCUUAACCUAGGAACUGCAUCUGAUACUGGGUAACUAGAGUAUUGUAGAGGGUAGUGGAAUUUCCGGUGUAGCGGUGAAAUGCGUAGAGAUCGGAAGGAACACCAGUGGCGAAGGCGGCUACCUGGACAAAUACUGACGCUGAGGCGCGAAAGCGUGGGGAUCAAACA
This 427-nucleotide ribosomal RNA is filed under the name uncultured Gammaproteobacteria bacterium. RNAcentral's name for it is "uncultured gamma proteobacterium partial 16S ribosomal RNA". It matches the Rfam family "Bacterial small subunit ribosomal RNA", at positions 355 to 774 of the family's 1533-position model. Lineage: Bacteria; Pseudomonadati; Pseudomonadota; Gammaproteobacteria. The record is from RNAcentral.